AAAUAUCUUUGAUUAAAAGAAAAAUUGUAUCCAAUUAAUUUCCAGACUAUCUAACAUUUCUACAAAUAAAAAUAAUAAGUAAGUAUUAAAAAUAUUAACUUGUUCCCAGAAAUAAUCGUGAAAAUUUUUUUUCUCUUUGAAUCAUUAUUAAUGAACACAUAAUUGGAAAUUAAAUAGAUAAUAUGAUCAGAAACGUAGAACUGGAACUCAAUUAACUGUCAUAGACGCCUGUCCAACUAUCUAAGACGAGGAAGAUGAACAAAGAAAAACAGAUGAAGAGUAAAAAGCAAAUCGAAGAGCAAGGAAAUUUUAGCGCAGGGAAGCCAGUGAGUGUUGGUCGGUCGGUCAGCCCAAGCAGGUAUAAAAGCGUUGCAUCGCCUUAGCCAUGGUAUAUUUCUGCAUUAUAUAAGCAAUAUAGUCCUUAGUUUAUGCCUGGGACGCCGCAGUUAAACGUUGCGAGGACUUUUAUAGGCCUAUACGCGAAUUCUCCCAUACUUAUGCCGGUUACGACGCGUGUUUCCACUCGAGCAGAGAUACAGGCAUUUACACAUGCGCGCCCUCUAGCGUCGUGGUUCCUUGUCAAGACCGAUGGGAAACACGUUUGAAGAAGAUGGAUGAUUGUUCCAUGUCGCAUAACGAAGUGUUAACCUUUAACCGAAUUUAUGAUUAUCUUCUCUGAUAUUCGCUUCCAAAGAGCUGUUAAAAGUGGAAUACCUACAAAAUGCACCAGAGACGAAUAUCGCUAAUUCUCCGAUAUUAUUAUAUUAAAAUAAUUUCAAUGUAUAUUUUAUUUAUAAUAUAUGCAGGUGUGAAUGGUUCUUAAUUGAGCCCGAAGGCGAUCAAGAUUCAGGCUACUUGACUCGGCUUAGCACUCUAUCGAUGAAAUUUUUCGAGAGAUGGCGCCCUUUCCGCUUCGAUGAAGGGUAAAUGUGAGAAUAUUACUUCAGCUCCACGAAGCAACUUAACAUGCAUUUUCGAUAUGAAGAAGCGCUUACAUAUAUUAUACAUUAUAGUAUAUGAUCUACAAUACACUAUAUGAUCUGGGACUAAUAUUACACAAAAUCACUGGAUUUAAACAAUAUAUAGAAUGUUUCUCGAUUAAUUCGUGACUUGUUAAAUGAAAUCCUCAAUUUUGAAUAAAAAAUAACGCCUAUUUAACAAAAAUAACUAUUAUAAGAUUAAUUUAAAUAUUUCGCAUCUUGAUAUCCUUGAAAAAUCUCAGAAGCGUUGUGACAUACAUGUUUUAAUAUUCAGAAAUACCUGGAAUAUAUUCAAAACAGGUUAAAUGUAAAUUCAAAAUUUUU
This is a long non-coding RNA of Apis mellifera (honey bee), 1304 nucleotides long. RefSeq lists it as uncharacterized. The record is from RefSeq and is a predicted model, not a curated record. The transcript is spliced from 3 exons. Lineage: Eukaryota; Metazoa; Arthropoda; Insecta; Hymenoptera; Apidae.